Molecule: long non-coding RNA, 455 nt
Filed under: Homo sapiens (human)
Lineage: Eukaryota; Metazoa; Chordata; Mammalia; Primates; Hominidae
Description: non-protein coding lnc-PTPDC1-2:2
Source: RNAcentral
CAGUAACAGAACCUUUGGUCCAGAGCCUGGGAUGUUGCCUUUUGCCCACUGGAAUUCCCAUCUUGGAAGAGUAAGCGCAGGGGAUUGUCCAGACAGCCAGGAGGCCAGCGAAGCCAAGUCCUUCAGUACAGCCUGGGAGCCUCCAGGAAGCUGUUAGGAGUUGCCAUGAUGGGUGCAUUUGGACUCACAGAAUCUGCCUUCCAAUCUCAGUGCUGCUUCUACUCCUUUGCUACCUUAGGUCUUUGAAGACAGGUCCAUACCUUGGGUGUUUGUAUUUGGACAACCACAGACAUUGCCAAGAAAUGUAUCUGUUCUACUUGCACACCUUCACCACCUGGAUGCUGCUUGAGGACACAGAUCUGGUCCAUCAGAUUUCUCUCUGUACUCCUCUCUAUAUUUCGCCAUAUUUGAUAUAGACCCAUCAAUGGCUCCCUAGAAUAAAAUCUCAACUCUUC